UUUGAAUGAUGUUCUUGUCAAUUUGAAAUCGACCAAACAUGGCAUAGGUUUCAAACUUCUCAUAAAAAUUUGAAUGAUGUUCUUGUCAAUUUGAAAUCGACCAAACAUGGCAUAGGAUUCAAAAACGAGCCUAAAGAAAAAGUUGAAGCCAUCCCCCAACAACCCAAGGCUCAACCUAGGAUAAAUAAAAUAGACAUUCAUCCUAGAAAUAACCAUCCUAGAAUCAAUAUGCAUCAUAGACCAAACACUAGAAGAAACUUUGAACAUUUUAGAACGCCUAGAAAUGGCCUUCAACAAUCGCAACCUAGACAUACUCGACCUAGAAAGAAUUAUUCUAGAAACGCUG
RNAcentral lists this long non-coding RNA (346 nucleotides) under Nicotiana benthamiana. RNAcentral's name for it is "long non-coding RNA (NBEN_LNC038690)". Lineage: Eukaryota; Viridiplantae; Streptophyta; Magnoliopsida; Solanales; Solanaceae. The record is from RNAcentral.